Molecule: ribosomal RNA, 465 nt
Filed under: uncultured bacterium
Lineage: Bacteria
Description: partial 16S ribosomal RNA
Rfam family: Bacterial small subunit ribosomal RNA
Source: RNAcentral
GACGAACGCUGGCGGCGUGCUUAACACAUGCAAGUCGAACGGAAAGGCCCCUUCGGGGGUACUCGAGUGGCGAACGGGUGAGUAACACGUGAGUAACCUGCCCUUGACUUCGGGAUAACUUCAGGAAACUGGGGCUAAUACCGGAUAGGAAUCCUUGCUGCAUGGUGGGGGUUGGAAAGCUUCGGCGGUUUUGGAUGGACUCGCGGCUUAUCAGCUUGUUGGUGGGGUAGUGGCUUACCAAGGCUUUGACGGGUAGCCGGCCUGAGAGGGCGACCGGCCACAUUGGGACUGAGAUACGGCCCAGACUCCUACGGGAGGCAGCAGUGGGGAAUACUGCACAAUGGGCGGAAGCCUGAUGCAGCAACGCCGCGUGCGGGAUGACGGCCUUCGGGUUGUAAACCGCUUUCAGCAGGGGCGAAGCUUGUGGUGACGGUACCUGCAGAAGAAGCACCGGCUAACUACGUG